Molecule: ribosomal RNA, 256 nt
Filed under: uncultured bacterium
Lineage: Bacteria
Description: partial 16S ribosomal RNA
Rfam family: Bacterial small subunit ribosomal RNA
Source: RNAcentral
UACGAAGGGGGCUAGCGUUGUUCGGAAUUACUGGGCGUAAAGCGUGCGCAGGCGGCUUCUCAAGUCAGGGGUGAAAGGCCCAGAGCCUCAACUCUGGAAUUGCCUUUGAGACUGAGUGGCUUGAGUACGGGAGAGGUGAGUGGAAUUCCCAGUGUAGAGGUGAAAUUCGUAGAUAUUGGGAAGAACACCGGUGGCGAAGGCGGCUACACUGGCCCGAAACUGACGCUCAUGCACGACAGCGUGGGGAUCAAACAGG